UAUUCCAGACUGCUUGUGUGGAGGCAUAUGUGAAAGAGUGCGCAUGUUAUGUAAUCUAUCAGCUAAUUUGACAAUUAUAACACGGACCUCCUCUGUCAUGGAAAGAAACAUUUGCCUAAGGUCAUCAGCUUUGACAUCCUGUACAUGGCUUUCAUCCUUGCACUUGAUCUUUCCCAGCUUGGAUACCUUAGUCUCCCCUUCAACAAUGCGGCGAACUGUUGUGCCAAAUUCCUUCUCUAUUCUUUCAAAAGUAACUACAUCUGUGUCUUCUACAGUAUCAUGUAAUAGCCCAGCAGCAACCGACUCCCAAUCCAAUUCAAGCUGUCCAAGGAUCUGUGCAACUGCAAUUGGGUGAAUAAUGAAGGG
RNAcentral lists this unclassified non-coding RNA (366 nucleotides) under Hevea brasiliensis (rubber tree). The record is from RNAcentral. Lineage: Eukaryota; Viridiplantae; Streptophyta; Magnoliopsida; Malpighiales; Euphorbiaceae.